CAAGCCUGACCCACUCAGGUUUUAUGAUUACAGGUAGUGGACCCCGAGCAUAGUCGGAGGACGACGAGAGAUUUUUGGAUUAUAGGCCAGUAGUUGUAAAUAACUGUUGAAAGGCUUAUAAUGUCUUGUUUAUGCUUUUGAUCUGUAUCGGAACAUGACAUCCCGAGGUUUUGGAUAUAUAUGGAAAAUAUAUACCUUCUUAAUGAAGGGUUUUGAUAAACUUUUAUCAUAUGUUGUUUGGAGACCAAUUCCGCAACAUCUUUUAAAAAGAUUUCUCUGAUUUUAUUUUAAAAAGCAUAAUUUAAAUCGGUCUUUUCUGGCCGAGAAAUAUGGGGAUGUCACAGUUGGUAUCAGAGCAUUAGUUUAAGCGAACUAAGAAAUUGUAGAAUUUGUAGACUUGAACUUAGAAUGCUAAGUGAUGAUUGUGAGAUGAGUGUCUACCAUAUUUUAGACACGAGCACUAGUUUAUUUUAGGGAAGAUGCCUGAAUUUUCCUUAUGUGCUAAAUGCUAUGUGUUUGCCAUGUGUGCCAUUAUUUGUUCGGAUCUAUGGUCUGUUGCCGACCGGAACUGGAAACUUUAUGUGUGUAGGAUUCUAAGUGUAUGAAUACGAGUUUAGAACUAACAUGUAAACUUUUCGGAGUAAUAAGGGAAUUGACAUGUCUAACAAGAAUAAAGACCUAAAUUCGCCUUAUUCGGUAUAUAGAUUGUAAUGGAAAGAACUCGGAUUGGAGCUGGAAAUGCAAACAGAAACCAACAACCUCAACCCCAAGUGGUGGAACCGGUGCCUAUAGUAGGAGUUGCACCCGAACCCAUCACCAUGGCUGGAGUACGAACUAUGAUUCAGACCAUGUUGGCUGAACAGAGGGAGGAAUUGAGGCAAAUGUUGCUGAACUACAGGGAUGAACCUUCAGUUCCUGUUGAACAACGUGAACUAAAUGACGAUCGAUCUGAAGAAAGGAACAACAUUAGAUCGGUUGGUCAUAGUGAACCGCUUGUGGUUGGGAGGAAUAACCACAAGGGUAGAAUGGAGAGAAAUGGGUGCAAGUAUAAGGACUUUAUGACUUGCAAGCCAUCAACCUUCAAUGGAAAAAAAGAUCAUGUCGGAGAAAUGGACUGGAUCUCGGAAAUGGAGUUGGCUUUCAUGACUUGUGAUUGCCAAGGCAAGUUGCAAACUACCUUUGCAGUACAUCAAUUCAGGGGUAGUGCUUCUCAUUGGUGGAGCACUUUGGGGAAAACCCUAAGCCCUAAUGAGCCACUGCAAUUAACUUGGGCAAAGUUCUUAGUGCACUUCAAGCGCAAGUACUGCUCAGCCCAAAACGUACUUGAGUUAGAAAACCAAUUUCUAACGUUACAGAAGGGGAGUAUGACCUUUAACGAAUAUACGAAUAACUUCACAGACAAAAUGGAGUUUGCUUUGCGUAUUGUCCCAGAUGAGCUGGAAAAAAUUGACAGGUACGCAAAGGGACUACCAUGGGAGUAUGCGGUGCCAGUACGUCAGGCACUUACUUUGGAGGCAGCUAUUUGGGCUACCAAGUCUGUUGAAGAUAUGAUAAAAGAGAGAGCCGCCAGCAAGGUUGAAGUUGACGAAAAGAGAAAGUUUGAAGGAACUUUAGGUUCCAAUAAAAAGAACAAAUUCUCGAAGACUGGUUCGAGAAAGUUUGGAGGAGGAAGCGAAGCCAAGUGGUGUGACAAGUGUAAGAAGAAACAUGCUGGGAAGUGCAGCGUGGAAGUCACUUGUUACAAAUGUGGAAAGCCAGGGCAUUAUGCCAAUGAAUGCACCUUCAAUAAGAACAUAUGUUUUGGGUGCAAUGAAGAAGGGCAUAUUUNACAUAUUUUGAUGGAUUGCCCGAAGAAGAAGGACGCAGAAAAACCCAAUCUACCACCAAAGCCGAAGGCGAGAGCCUUUCAGAUGACACUCGAAGCUGCGAAAGAAGAAGCCGAUGUCGCUUCAGGUACCUCUCUUGUAAAUGAAUUGCCUGCCCAAAUUUUGUUUGAUUUUGGAUCCAAUUACUCCUUUAUAUCGCAUGAAUUUGGUAGAAAGCUAGCUUUGCCUGUAGAUAUGCUAGUUAAUGCUAUAGUAGUUGAGAUUGCUAGUGGAAAGUUUGUACAUGUUAGCCAUCGUAUGAAAAACAUCCUCAUUGACUUGGAUGGGAAUAAGUUCCAAGAGGAAUUAUUGCCUAUCGAGUUAAAUGGAUUCGACAUAGUUUUAGGAAUGGAUUGGCUUAGCGCCAACGAUGCAGAAAUACUAUGUAGAAAGAAGAUAGUUAAAGUAAACCCGCCAGGGAAACAGUCGUUUAUGGUGUAUGGAGACAAACGCAAAGUAAACUCUGGAAUUAUUUCCCUAAUGAAAGCCAGAAAGUGUUUGGCCAAGGGAUGUACAUCAUAUCUAGCGUUCGUGAUCGAUGCCAAGAUGGAAAAGAAGGAGGUGCAGAAUAUUCCGGUGGUGUGUGAUUAUCCGGAAGUCUUUCCCGAAGAUCUUCCGGGAUUGCCCCCUGAUCGACAAGUAGAAUUUCGUGUCGACUUGUUACCAAGAACGACGCCGAUAGCAAAAUCACCUUAUCAAUUAGUGCCAACCGAAAUGAAAGAACUUAUCACACAACUUCAGGAGUUAAUGGACAAAGGUUUCAUUCGACCUAGUUCAUCGCCCUGGGGAGCCCCUGUGUUAUUUGUAAAGAUGAAAGACGGGAGCAUGAGAAUGUGCAUCGAUUACAGAGAGCUGAACAAAGCGACGAUAAAGAACAAGUACCCGUUGCCAAGGAUCGAUGACUUGUUCGACCAGUUGCAGGGUUCGAGCUAUUUCUCGAAGAUCGAUCUUAGGUCGGGAUACCAUCAACUAAAGGUGAGAGAGCAGGAUAUCGAAAAGACUGCUUUUAGAACGAGAUAUGGACACUAUGAAUUUUUGGUUAUGUCGUUCGGACUAACCAAUGCCCCAGCAGCUUUCAUGGAUUUGAUGAAUAGGGUUUGUAAACCAUUCUUAGAUAAAUCUGUGAUAGUAUUCAUAGACGAUAUCUUGAUUUAUUCGAAAAGCAAGCAGGAACAUGAAAAGCAUCUACGUGAAGUGCUAGAAGUCCUGAAAAAGGAGAAGUUGUAUGCAAAGUUCUCCAAAUGUGAAUUUUGGAUUCAAGAAGUCCAAUUUUUAGGUCAUGUGGUUAACCAAGAAGGAAUAAUGGUUGACCCAGCAAAGAUUGAAGUUGUAAUGAAGUGGGAACAACCAAAAAGUCCUACGGAGAUUCGAAGCUUUUUAGGAUUAGCUGGAUAUUACCGAAGGUUUAUCCAAGGCUUUUCUUCGAUUGCUACUCCAUUAACAGCUUUGACCCACAAAGGAGCCACUUAUGCUUGGAAUGAGAAGCAUAAGGAAGCCUUUGAGAAGUUGAAGAAGAGAUUGUGUGAAGCACCGAUUCUUUCAUUGCCUGAAGGAGUUGAUGACUUUGCAGUUUAUAGCGAUGCAUCCGGAGUUGGGUUAGGUUGUGUUCUGACCCAAAGGGAUAAAGUGAUCGCGUAUGCAUCGAGGCAAUUGAAGGAACAUGAAAAGAACUACCCCACUCAUGAUCUGGAGUUGGCAGCGGUAGUAUUUGCCUUAAAGAUAUGGAGGCAUUAUCUUUAUGGCACAAAGUGUAAACUUUUCACUGAUCAUAAGAGUCUCCAAUAUCUCUUUAAUCAGAAGGAAUUGAACAUGAGGCAACGACGCUGGCUAGAGUUACUCAAGGACUACGACUGUGAGAUACUUUACCACCCUGGUAAAGCAAAUGUUGUUGCUGAUGCUCUCAGUCGGAAGGUAAACCUUGAAAAGAAAAGGCCAAGAGCGUUGAGAAUUGAAGUUGUCUCGACAAUUGUGGAAAGUAUAAAGAAAGCUCAAGAGGAAGCUUUAGAGAAAAAUGACCGAAAGGAAGAACGUUUGGGCAAAACGUUAGUGUUCGGUACAAACAACCAAGGGUUGAAGGUAUUUCAAGAUAGAAUUUGGGUACCUAAGACGGGCGGAAUAAGAGAUCUUCUGAUGGAAGAAGCUCACAAGACCAUGUACUCAAUUCAUCCCGGCAGUACGAAAAUGUAUAGGGAUCUAAAACCCUAUUAUUGGUGGCCGACGAUGAAGCUCGAUGUUGCUAAGUAUGUGGCCGAGUGUGUAACUUGUGCUAGGGUUAAGGCACAACAUCAGAAACCGUAUGGGAGUUUAGAACCUUUACCCGUACCCAUGGGUAAAUGGGAAGACAUCACCAUGGAUUUUGUGACUAAACUGCCCAGAACAAGGAACGGUCACGACAUGAUUUGGGUGGUCGUUGAUCGCUUCACUAAGAGUGCGCAUUUCAUAGCGGCCAAAGAGAAAUGGUCUAUGGAUAAACUUGCGAAUUCUUACGUGAAGGAAAUUGUGAGGCUUCACGGUGUUCCGUUAACGAUUGUGUCCGAUCGUGACAGCCGUUUUACCUCAAGGUUUUGGAGGAGUCUACAAGAGGAAUUGGGUACCAAGUUGUGUUUGAGUACAGCUUACCAUCCGCAAACCGAUGGUCAGAGCGAGCGAACGAUUCAAACAUUGGAGGAUAUGCUGAGAGCAUGUACCCUAGAAUUCCAAGGUAACUGGGAUGAACACUUACCUUUAGUAGAAUUCUCCUAUAAUAAUAGUUUCCACUCAAGCAUUAAGAUGGCACCUUAUCACGCUUUGUAUGGGGAGAAGUGUCGAACGCCAUCAUGUUGGCUGGAAGCUGGGGAAAAGCAGUUUAUGGGACCUGAAAUAGUCCAUGAGACUGCUGAAAAGUUGAAAGUGAUAAGGGAAAGGAUGUUAGCUGCUCAAGAUCGACAAAAGAGUUAUGCUGACAAGAAAAGACAACCGAUAUCCUUCGAUGUUGGAGAUUCGGUUUUACUUAAAGUCUCGCCGUGGAAGGGACUUAUAAGAUUUGGGAAACGAGGGAAGUUGAGUCCAAGGUUUAUUGGACCAUUUAAAGUUCUUCAGAGGAUCGGGAAUCAAGCUUACAAGCUAGAGUUACCGGAAGAACUAGAGGGUAUUCAUAACACCUUUCAUGUGUGUUAUUUGAGAAAGUUCACAGGAGAUGUGCCCGACAUAAUUCCGAUUUCUGAGUUAAGGUUGGAUGAAAACAAGAGGUUGAUCGAAGAACCUGAGGCAAUCGUUGACCGUAAGACUAUGAAGUUACGACGCAAGAUGGUCGAUUUAGUGCUUGUGCGCUGGAAACAUACGAAUGGACCAAAUCUCACUUGGGAAACGGAGAGUGACAUGAUGAGUCGCUACCCGCAUUUGUUUGGUGAUAUGUGAUUCCGGGGACGGAAUCAUCCUAAGGGGGAGAGAAUUGUAACACUCGUGUUUCUAGCCUAGGCAUUUAUAUUGAGUUGAUAGUCUAGGUUAACCUUUGUAACUCAUUUUGAAGAAAUGAAAAGGAGUUAUGUGAAUAUUAUGUGAAUUAUGUGUUUUAUGCUUAAUUAUUAGGGCUUAAUUAAUUAAGAAUAAAAAUAAGCAUAAAAAUUAAAGUGUGAGAUAAGCCCGAUAUCUUUACAUAAAGUUGUAGUGGUCGAAACAAGGAUUUCGGGGAUAUAAAAAAUACCAAAAUCCGAGUUAUAACAAAGAAGUUAUGACCUGUCGAAGUUUCGCGACAAAACCGGCACGGUGCUGAAUGUCGUAAAAAGUGAGUUUUUGAUAAACUACUUUUUAGCCUUAGUAAUCUAAACGAAAGUUGUAGUAUUCGUUAAACCGAGAAGUUCGAUAAAAAGAACGCCCAAAUCUGACUUCGUAUGAAGAAGUUAUGAUUUUUCGAAGUUUCAGCUUAGCAAUAGAUAGCUAAAAACUCGAAUUUUAAAUCAAGCGAUUUUUAGCCGACACAACCUAAAUGAGAAUUGAAGGUCUCGUCAUUAGGAGCACAACGGUAAAAAGUCUGACGAAAAGGACGCCGGAUGAAGAAGUUAUGAAUGUUUAACGGAUUUCCUGUCCCGGUCUGUUAAAAAUAAUAAUAUAAAAUUUAAAAUCAAAAUUAGCUGACGAAGUCUGAACGGAAGCUGUAGAUCGUAAUUUUAGCUACGCGUGCAUAUAAAGAACGUCAAAAACGGAGCUCGUAUGCGAAAGUUAUGGAUUUUAGAAGUUUUGGCGCGAAAAUCAAGAAAAUUCGCAUAGUCACAGUUUGCCACGUCACCCUCGCUUAGCAUGUGACACGUGUCCUGCUGAUUCACCAGGCUGCUGAGUCACUGAAACUGCUGAGUCAUGCGAAGCCACGUGUCUUCUUCUGAUUCGACCGAGGAGGUGGCCCAAUCCGAAGCAGCCAGCUCCCCAGCCGAAGCUUUGCCCUGCUGCCGCGUGUUCCGAGCCUCGCAUAGCCUAGCUCCGAGCCUUGCUUUGCCUAGCUCCGAACCUCGCAGGUGCACCAGUAGACUCCGGUCCACUUAGAAGCUGCCAGCGAGCCCUCGCAGGUGCGAGCCAUGUGCGAGCCAUGCGCAGCCUCGUGCGAGCCUUUGCCAGCGAACCCUCUCAGCCGUCGGAUCAGAUGCUUCUCAGCCCUUGGAUCAGAAGCCUCGCCCCUAUAAAUAGAAGGGUGCGAGACCUCCUGGGUAAUUUUGGAAUUUUGCCAUAUUUAACCCCUAAACCCAUAUUUCUUUCAUCUUAACAUCCCACAAAGCCUCAGUAUCGAUUGUAAAGCCCGGAAUACCCCACGAAGUGCCCGUGAAGCCCGGAAAAUUUAUCUUUUCGGUUUCAAAGCCCGACUUUUGCAGAGCCCGGUUUCUCAAUAAAACUCUCGGUUUUAUUAGAAACGAUCGUUUAAGGAAACAAAUUGCUGCCUGGUUUUCAUUAAAUCACGUGAGUGUGUAGUUACUUUCAAUUUACACAUAGAUAUGAAGUAUUUACCUUAAAAUACGUGUUAUGUGUAAAUAUGCUAAUUGUUUAUUUGAGGUGACUAUUGAAUUGAUGUUUUAUACAAGUUUUAAACUGUAUAUACUUUUUAUCUACAAAAUAUGUUGGGUAGAACAUGGCUAGAUGAAAUAGUUGAUGUGUGUUAAAAUGGUGAGAGGCCUCGAUGUUGUUAUUGUUGUUGUUGUAGUCAUCUAGCGGAGUAUAGAUGACGACCACAGACUUUCUAGAUAGUCCAGUGGAACACUAGCAGGUUCGCAACUUGUAGGUGUUGAUGAAUUAAAUGUUCAUUGGCGUACUCCAUCCCCCUCAUGGUUGCCUUAAGGACAUGUAUGGCUGAGGAAACCCCUUAGCAGUAGUGUCCAUCCCGAUGAUAAUCCUUAGGCUAGGUCCCUUGUGAUAGGUGUUUAGGGACGUAAAGUGAGGACAACGGGAAUGGGUAAUCAGGGUUAUUGUUGAUUGAUGAACUUAAUAAGUAUAUUAUUAUUGUGGGUUGAAAACCCUAUAUGCUCACCAGGCUCCCAAGCCUGACCCACUCAGUUUUUUUAUUACAGGUAGUGGACCCCGAGCAUAGUCGGAGGACGACGAGAGAUUUUUGGAUUAUAGGCCAGUAGUUGUAAAUAACUGUUGAAAGGCUUAUAAUGUCUUGUUUAUGCUUUUGAUCUGUAUCGGAACAUGACAUCCCGAGGUUUUGGAUAUAUAUGGAAAAUAUAUACCUUCUUAAUGAAGGGUUUUGAUAAACUUUUAUCAUAUGUUGUUUGGGGACCAAUUCCGCAACAUCUUUUAAAAAGAUUUCUCUGAUUUUAUUUUAAAAAGCAUAAUUUAAAUCGGUCUUUUCUGGCCGAGAAAUUUGGGGAUGUCACACAUUGUUAUGAUACUUCACAUGACGUCCUCCACC
This 7737-nucleotide long non-coding RNA is filed under the name Lactuca sativa (garden lettuce). RNAcentral's name for it is "long non-coding RNA (LSAT_LNC010138)". The record is from RNAcentral. Lineage: Eukaryota; Viridiplantae; Streptophyta; Magnoliopsida; Asterales; Asteraceae.